Long non-coding RNA from Episyrphus balteatus (marmalade hoverfly), 2772 nucleotides. RefSeq lists it as uncharacterized. The record is from RefSeq and is a predicted model, not a curated record. The transcript is spliced from 4 exons. Lineage: Eukaryota; Metazoa; Arthropoda; Insecta; Diptera; Syrphidae.
GUUUUCCGGCUCAUCACUUAGUGCAGUGUUAGUAGUUAGUAAGCAAAUAAUAACUACAAAAAACGUACACUAAGAAAAAAACAUUGAAUUCAAUAUUAGAUAAAACAAACAUUAAAGAAAUACAAACAAUAUAAUUACUUGAGCAAAAAAAAAGACAUAAAAAUAAACACAAACAUUUAUGAGCGUGGUACACUGGUUUUUAAGACAGUUUUUAAUCUAUUUUUAUUAAAGUUUAAAUCAAAAAGGUUUGAAUUUAAAUUUAGAAGUUUACACAUGCGUGUUAAAGGUUCAUGCAAGCCAUAAUUUGUUCGGUGUGGUGGAAUAUUCAUUAAAUCCAAGCAUCGGAGGCUAUAAGCACCCCCUCGAUAGUUAAAACCAACAGAAUUAAGUAAAUUUGGUGCAUGAAUUACGCCUGUGAUUAACUGGUGAAUGAAGAUUAUGUCAUUGUUAACCCUUCUUUGAGCCAAAGUUUGAAUUUAAAGGAGAUUAAUCCGAUGUUCAUAAGGAGGAAGAUUAUAAGGAUCAGACCAUGGCAGUCCUUUUAAGGCGAAACGAAUGAAAUUACGUUGUACUGAUUCCAGUCUUACAUUAUGGGUCUCGUAAAAAGGAGUCCAGACUUGCGAUGCGUACUCAAGGUGGGGGCGUACUAAACAAUUGUAGAGGGAAAGAGUCACAUAAGGAUCUUGAAAUUCUUUUGACCAACGCUUCACAAAACCUAGCAUAGAGAAGGCCUUAUUUACGAUGACGUUGAUAUGGUCGGAAAAAUCAAGGUUAUAACUUAAAUUAACCCCUAAGUCUUUAAAGCUCUGAACACGUUGUAAUUUGUGUUGGGAUAUUUUAUAUUCAUACAAACUAGGAGCACGUUUUUUAGAAAAAGUCAUUGUCUGACAUUUUAUUGGAUUCAAAACUAAGCUAUUCUUACUACACCAUAUAGAAAAAUGAUUAAUGUCCUCUUGGAGAAGCCUCCGAUCAUUAACCGAUUUGAUACUUUUAUAAAUGUUCUUGUCAUCUGCAAAAAUGAGAAUUUCGCUAUGGUGAAUACAUAAUGGGGCAUCAUUUAUAGCUAGAAUAAAAAGAAGAGGUCCUAAAUGACUUCCUUGCGGGACACCUGAUUUUGCGAUCAACGAUUUUGAGAGAGCGUCUCUGAACUUCACUUGAUAAGAUCUAUUUUCAAGAUAAGAAGAAAUCCAAUUAACGAAGCCUAAAGGGAAACCUAGAGUUUUUAAUUUAAAUUUGAUAAUGUCAUGGGAGAGUUGGUCAAAAGCCUUAGAAUAGUCCGUAUAGAUACAGUCAAGUUCUUGCCCACUUUCUAACGUAUUUGAGCACUUAUGUAAAAAAGUAAGCAAGUUUGUAACCGUCGAUCAUUUUUGCAUAAAGCCAUGCUGUUGAAUGCAUAUAAUUCUUUUACGGUGGAACGCCAAGCUAUCGCAAACAACUUGCUCAAAAAGCUUUGGAAUACAAGAAAGCUUAGAUAUGGGUCUAUAAUUAACUAUAUUGGAUUUAUCUCCUUUUUUAAAAACAGGAGUAAUAAACGCUUGUUUCCAAGUGCUAGGAAAUUUACCUAACUUGAGAGAUAAUUCAAAAAUAACAGGGCUAUUCUGGGCAACCUCACUGAUGUCUCACAAGUCACAAUAACCUCAUAACUCGAGUAAAACUCGAUUUUGUGACUUUUUCGUAUUCUAACGAAAACCUCACAGUCACAAGAACCUCAUAAGGUGUGGUGAGUUUGAUUUUGUGAGGUUUUUGGAAUUCUGGCGUAACCUCACAACUUUUUCUCAGAAGUCAUCGUUGUACAUUUGCGAUGCAUGGCUGCAUCGGCGUUACUUUGGACAACGAUUUUUUUAAUCACAGCAUAAUGAUUUUAUGCUUGAGAUCCAAAGAGAGCUAGAUUAGCUCAAGGAGUGACCAUCAUUCAUCAUAUCGCUCAAAUCAAAAGAGAACGAAGUUCAUGGACGCACAACGAACGAGCCAUGUUCGAACCAUAGGAUUUCUUUGCAUUUCUUAAACACAACAACCACCCCUAUCUUAUGAUUCCAUUACAUAUAAAGUUAUCAAAGAGUUGGAGGCUGUUGUGCCAAAGAAUUGUAUCAUUGCAACCAACACAAAUAUAAUUCCAAUCAAAAAAAUAGCCGCAGGUAGCUUUCGACCACACAAAGUUUUUGGUAUGAAUUAUUUUUCGCCACUGGGCAAGAUGAAAUUGCUGGAAAUUAUAACACACCCACGAACUUCAAAGAACACAGGCUACAAAUGUUGCUGCGGGAUUGAAAAAAGGCACAUUUUUGUCACCAACAGUUGGUUGCGGAUUCCAUACCUAGUACUCGAAAUUUAGGCACUAUGCUUUAAGAAGCUAUCAGGCUUCUUCUUUAGGGUGUUGAUCCAAAAGAUUUGCUGAUGGAGUUGGUAUCGAUGUUGGAUCCUACAUCGCUGUUGACUUAUCAAAAGCAUUUGGUGAAAGAUUCAGUGGAGGGGUGCAUUUUUUUACAACACAAGUCCCUGGGCUAACGAGAAGUCAGUCAGGUGGCUCUUGUAAUCGUCAAACUAAAUUAUUCUUUUACUCCCAAGAGAGCAACUAGCGUUGAAAAUUUAUAUAAUUGCAAAUGGUUUCUCGAGAGCCCAUUUUGGAAGGUGAUAUCGGUGCUUUGUUUUGGGUUGAGAUUCCCUAAAUUUACCUGUGUUCCAUCCCGAACGUUUGAGCAAUAAUCAGCAUAAUUAGUCAACAAUAUGUUAUCGUAUGCCGACUAAAUAAAGUUUCAAUAUUUUGAAUAAAAAGAA